AGUGCCUGAAACUGGUGUGACUUUUGCUGAUGUUGCUGGAGCUGACCAAGCCAAGCUUGAAUUGCAAGAAGUGGUUGAUUUCUUGAAAAACCCUGACAAGUACACAGCUCUUGGAGCUAAAAUCCCAAAAGGGUGUCUCCUUGUAGGACCGCCUGGUACCGGAAAAACUCUUCUGGCCCGGGCCGUGGCCGGUGAAGCUGGUGUGCCAUUCUUCUCGUGUGCUGCCUCAGAGUUUGUAGAACUGUUUGUUGGUGUGGGUGCUUCAAGAGUGCGGGACUUGUUCGACAAAGCCAAGUCCAAAGCUCCUUGCAUUGUGUUCAUUGAUGAGAUU
This 331-nucleotide unclassified non-coding RNA is filed under the name Hevea brasiliensis (rubber tree). The record is from RNAcentral. Lineage: Eukaryota; Viridiplantae; Streptophyta; Magnoliopsida; Malpighiales; Euphorbiaceae.